UACGGGGGGGGCAAGCGUUGUUCGGAAUUACUGGGCGUAAAGGGCUCGUAGGCGGCCAACUAAGUCGGAUGUGAAAUCCCCAGGCUCAACUUGGGAACUGCAUCCGAUACUGGAUGGCUUGAAUUCGGGAGAGGGAUGCAGAAUUCCAGGUGUAGCGGUGAAAUGCGUAGAUAUCUGGAGGAACACCGGUGGCGAAGGCGGCAUCCUGGACCAAUACUGACACUGAGGAGCGAAAGCCAGGGGAGCAAACGGG
This 253-nucleotide ribosomal RNA is filed under the name uncultured bacterium. Its description in RNAcentral is "partial 16S ribosomal RNA". It matches the Rfam family "Bacterial small subunit ribosomal RNA", at positions 524 to 776 of the family's 1533-position model. The record is from RNAcentral.